This 417-nucleotide ribosomal RNA is filed under the name uncultured bacterium. RNAcentral describes it as "bacterial SSU rRNA". It matches the Rfam family "Bacterial small subunit ribosomal RNA", at positions 362 to 776 of the family's 1533-position model. The record is from RNAcentral.
UAUUGGUCAAUGUACGAAAGUCUGAACCAGCCAUGCCGCGUGGAGGAUGAAGGUCCUCUGGAUUGUAAACUUCUUUUAUAUGGGACGAAAAAAGGCCUUUCCAGGUCGUCUGACGGUACCAUAUGAAUAAGCACCGGCUAACUCCGUGCCAGCAGCCGCGGUAAUACGGAGGGUGCAAGCGUUAUCCGGAUUCACUGGGUUUAAAGGGUGCGUAGGUGGGUUGAUAAGUCAGUGGUGAAAUCCCCGAGCUUAACUUGGGAACUGCCAUUGAUACUAUUGAUCUUGAAUACCGUGGAGGUCAGCGGAAUAUGUCAUGUAGCGGUGAAAUGCUUAGAUAUGACAUAGAACACCAAUUGCGAAGGCAGCUGGCUACGCGAAUAUUGACACUGAGGCACGAAAGCGUGGGGAUCAAACAGG